This 1217-nucleotide long non-coding RNA is filed under the name Felis catus (domestic cat). RNAcentral describes it as "lncRNA (ENSFCAG00000048761.1)". Lineage: Eukaryota; Metazoa; Chordata; Mammalia; Carnivora; Felidae. The record is from RNAcentral.
GGCGGGGGUGGGGCCUGUUGGGCAGGGGCGCCCUCUGUGCCCUGUGCUGACCUCAGCAUGUGCCCAGCUGGACACGGCCACCCAGGCCUGGGGGAACCCGGGGCCUAGAAACUCUCCUGGGGGGGCCUGGGUGAUGUAGGGUCCUCGGGUCCAAGGUUUAUUUUUAGGCCUCAUGAGGUGUCUCUGAGGAAAUAUUUGCUUCAGGGGUACUAGUCCUGCCCAGGGCGGUGGCUGGGGUGCUGAUGGGGGGCCCUAUCCCCACUGUCGCCCGUGGCCAGCCCUGGUGGGCAGGCAGGACCCAGGGAGGACCCCGCUCGCUGCCGGACCUCCAACCCCCACCCUGGGCUCCCGGUGGGCGUGGCCUCUGGAACAGGGGCGGGUCCAAGUGCUCCCUGGGGUGGAGCAGGGCCGGUUUGCCGCAGAAGUGAAGGAGGGACAGACCUGGUCUGCAGGCAGCCGCACCCCCGCCCCCCCCACCUGGUGGAGGCAGGGCCACCCCCGGGGGAAAGGCCCGUCCCCCUGGGCGUCUGGGGGCCUAGCAGGACUGCCGUGCAUGUGCAAGGCCUCCGGGCCACGGGCUCCGCACCGAGCCCUCGUGCUGUCUGGCUCCCUCGCAGGAAUCUCCUACCGCACCUGGGAUCUGCCAGUCCUGUCCAGAAGCUUCCGCCCACUCUGUGCACACCCUGAGCACGCUAGACCUGCAGUCACCCUCCCGCCAGGCUCCAGGAGGUGGCUGUGCCCGUCUCAGCCCGUCAACAUCGGCUUCCUGGGCUGUGGGUGCAGCCAGCACGCGUCCACGAGCCCAGCAGGCAGCGCGGUGAGUGCCAGAGACACAGGCCCUGCAGCCCCCUCCCCAGAUCGCCUCCAAGGACACAGGCAGCUUCGCCCAGACUUCUAAUCGCUCCGUGACGGGUUGGAAAUGUGAGAGUGAAAGUCCUCUGCCACAGAGAUCCCAGGGCGUCCUUGGCCGGGGCUCACGGCGGCCCCGGUGUCUCCGCAGCCGGCAGGACAACAGGCCCUUGGGCGCCUCAACCACACGGGCUCCCUCCACCCUUCGCCGGGCCCGGAUGCGAGUUGGUCACUCGGACUUUCUGAAGCAAGUAUCUACAUGGCAGUGCCCGGACGGCCACCCGAGUGUAGGUUUUCAUCUGGAACGCCUGCUUUGGCCACGAGGAAACGUCGGCUGAAGCCGGAUGAGAAUCCUUCCGCUUGCGGGA